AGUAAAUAGAUACCCAGGUAGUCCACGCCCUAAACGAUGGAUACUUGGUGUUGGGGGGUUUGCCCUCAGUGCCGGAGCUAAACGCGUUAAAGUAUCCCACCUGGGGUACUACGGCCGCAAGGCUAAAACCUCAAACGGAAUUGACGGGGGUCCCGCACAAGCAGCGAGGUAUGUGGUUUAACUUCGACGCUACGCGAAGAACCUUACCUGGGCUUGACAUGCUUGAGAAACGAGCCAAGAAACCUGGCUCCCUCCUGGCCGCAAGGUCAGGACCCAUCCACAGGUGCUGCAUGGUCGUCGUCAGCUCGUGUCGUGAGAUGUAACGGUUAACGUCCUUGAA
RNAcentral lists this ribosomal RNA (340 nucleotides) under uncultured bacterium. RNAcentral's name for it is "bacterial SSU rRNA". It matches the Rfam family "Bacterial small subunit ribosomal RNA", at positions 774 to 1092 of the family's 1533-position model. The record is from RNAcentral.